CGGGUUCGAUUCUGGCUCAGGACGAACGCUGGCGGCGUGCUUAACACAUGCAAGUCGAACGAGAAUCUGCGGAAAGAGGAUUCGUCCAAUUGAAGCAGAGGACAGUGGCGAACGGGUGAGUAACGCGUGAGGAACCUGCCUCAAAGAGGGGGACAACAGUUGGAAACGACUGCUAAUACCGCAUAAGCCCACGGGUCGGCAUCGACCAGAGGGAAAAGGAGCAAUCCGCUUUGAGAUGGCCUCGCGUCCGAUUAGCUAGUUGGUGAGGUAACGGCCCACCAAGGCGACGAUCGGUAGCCGGACUGAGAGGUUGAACGGCCACAUUGGGACUGAGACACGGCCCAG
This 345-nucleotide ribosomal RNA is filed under the name uncultured bacterium. Its description in RNAcentral is "bacterial SSU rRNA". It matches the Rfam family "Bacterial small subunit ribosomal RNA", at positions 9 to 334 of the family's 1533-position model. The record is from RNAcentral.